RNAcentral lists this ribosomal RNA (372 nucleotides) under uncultured bacterium. RNAcentral's name for it is "bacterial SSU rRNA". It matches the Rfam family "Bacterial small subunit ribosomal RNA", at positions 527 to 898 of the family's 1533-position model. The record is from RNAcentral.
GAACCGUGCGAACGUUGUUCGGAAUCACUGGGCUUAAAGGGCGCGUAGGCGGGCUGUCAAGUCUGGGGUGAAAUGCCACGGCUCAACCGUGGAACUGCCUUAGAUACUGACGGCCUCGAGGGAGGUAGGGGCGUGCGGAACUGUAGGUGGAGCGGUGAAAUGCGUUGAUAUCUACAGGAACUCCGGUGGCGAAAGCGGCGCGCUGGACCUCUUCUGACGCUGAUGCGCGAAAGCUAGGGGAGCAAACGGGAUUAGAUACCCCGGUAGUCCUAGCCCUAAACGAUGGGUACUAGGUAGUAGACUAGACAUGGGUUUACUGCCGAAGCUAAAGUGCUAAGUACCCCGCCUGGGGAGUAUGGUCGCAAGGCUGAA